GUCUGUCUCAGGUGUUAAGGUCUGUCUCAGGUGUUAAGGUCUGUCUCAGGUGUUAAGGUCUGUCUCAGGUGUUAAGGUCUGUCUCAGGUGUUGAGGUCUGUCUCAGGUGUUGAGGUCUGUCUCAGGUGUAGAGGUCUGUCUCAGGUGUAGAGGUCUGUCUCAGGUGUUAAGGUCUGUCUCAGGUGUUGAGGUCUGUCUCAGGUGUUGAGGUCUGUCUCAGGUGUUGAGGUCUGUCUCAGGUGUUAAGGUCUGUCUCAGGUGUAGAGGUCUGUCUCAGGUGUAGAGGUCUGUCUCAGGUGUAGAGGUCUGUCUCAGG
This is a long non-coding RNA of Dicentrarchus labrax (European seabass), 316 nucleotides long. RefSeq lists it as uncharacterized. The record is from RefSeq and is a predicted model, not a curated record. The transcript is spliced from 3 exons. NCBI's taxonomy places the organism in Eukaryota, Metazoa, Chordata, Actinopteri, Moronidae.